This 377-nucleotide ribosomal RNA is filed under the name uncultured bacterium. Its description in RNAcentral is "bacterial SSU rRNA". It matches the Rfam family "Bacterial small subunit ribosomal RNA", at positions 523 to 898 of the family's 1533-position model. The record is from RNAcentral.
AAACGUAGGAGGCGAGCGUUAUCCGGAUUUACUGGGCGUAAAGGGCAAGUAGGCGGUUACAAAAGUUGGGCGUGACAACUCCCGGCUCAACUGGGAGGGGACGAACAAAACUAGGUAACUAGAGGGCAGGAGAGGGAAGCGGAAUUCCGAGUGUAGCGGUGGAAUGCUCAGAUAUUCGGAGGAACACCAGUGGCGAAGGCGGCUUCCUGGCCUGCACCUGACGCUGAUAGGCGAAAGCUAGGGGAGCGAACGGGCUUAGAUACCCCGGUAGUCCUAGCUGUAAACGUUGGAUACUGGGUAUUGGGGGUGUAGAUUCCCGCAGUGCCGAAGCAAACGCGUUAAGUAUCCCGCCUGGGGACUACGGCCGCAAGGUUAAA